This 24-nucleotide non-coding RNA is filed under the name Rattus norvegicus (Norway rat). Lineage: Eukaryota; Metazoa; Chordata; Mammalia; Rodentia; Muridae. The record is from RNAcentral.
CAAACAAACAAACAAACAGGACCU